RNAcentral lists this ribosomal RNA (466 nucleotides) under uncultured bacterium. Its description in RNAcentral is "partial 16S ribosomal RNA". It matches the Rfam family "Bacterial small subunit ribosomal RNA", at positions 28 to 507 of the family's 1533-position model. The record is from RNAcentral.
GAUGAACGCUGGCGGCGUGCUUAACACAUGCAAGUCGAACGGAAAGGCUCCUGCUUGCAGGGGUACUCGAGUGGCGAACGGGUGAGUAACACGUGGGUGAUCUGCCCUGCACUUCGGGAUAAGCCUGGGAAACUGGGUCUAAUACCGGAUAGGACCACAUUUUGGAUGGUGUGGUGGAAAGUUUUUCGGUGUGGGAUGAGCUCGCGGCCUAUCAGCUUGUUGGUGGGGUAAUGGCCUACCAAGGCGUCGACGGGUAGCCGGCCUGAGAGGGUGUACGGCCACAUUGGGACUGAGAUACGGCCCAGACUCCUACGGGAGGCAGCAGUGGGGAAUAUUGCACAAUGGGCGCAAGCCUGAUGCAGCGACGCCGCGUGGGGAUGACGGCCUUCGGGUUGUAAACUCCUUUCGCUAGGGACGAAGCGUUUUUGUGACGGUACCUGGAGAAGAAGCACCGGCUAACUACGUG